UAUCCUUAGUGAUGUGGUUGUUUCAAUCGUAAUCUAUUGAUUGUCAGGGCAAUAUGUUAUUGCCCUUUUUUAUU
This 74-nucleotide small RNA is filed under the name Cedecea davisae. RNAcentral's name for it is "ABC transporter regulator". It matches the Rfam family "ABC transporter regulator". Rfam says of the family: DapZ sRNA, encoded in the 3'-UTR of the conserved dapB gene, as a translational repressor with a GcvB-like seed domain. This is the first example of a widely conserved bacterial gene whose 3'-UTR has dual function. The record is from RNAcentral. Lineage: Bacteria; Pseudomonadati; Pseudomonadota; Gammaproteobacteria; Enterobacterales; Enterobacteriaceae.